AUGACCAUUGUGCUCCUCAGAUCAAGCUAAAGAUUUUUAUCAAAAAUAUAUCUACUACUCCUCAGACCCAGUCUAAAUGUCUGAUUGAGACCUAACCUACACUACUUCUCCCUCCCGGGCUCUGAUACCAUGAGGCCGGUCAGAACCCAAUACAAGGGUUUUUGAAAGAUGGAAGGGGUUACAAGAUAGAAGAGAUUUUUGGUAGAACACUCCUUCACUGGCUCUAAUACCAUGAGAUCGGGAUCAAGAUCUGGGGGAGCCCUCUAGUUAAAGGAGGAAUCAUAGUAAUCUAUCCUAGGGUAAAUAUUCUGGAACCUAUGAACAGAAUCUUGCUCACUCUAAGAUACCAGAGAAUGAGGCCUGUCAAGAUACUGCUAACAGAUCAUAGAUUAACCAUGAU
RNAcentral lists this long non-coding RNA (400 nucleotides) under Elaeis guineensis (African oil palm). RNAcentral's name for it is "long non-coding RNA (EGUI_LNC018147)". Lineage: Eukaryota; Viridiplantae; Streptophyta; Magnoliopsida; Arecales; Arecaceae. The record is from RNAcentral.